ACACCAUCAAGCCAGAUCUUCUGUCCUUAGCUAAGUGUUUUAAUAGAUGCAGGCACCGUCUUCAGCACAUAUGCCUAUGGAGCCAUUCUUAUGAGUCAAAAAGUAGCAGAUGUCAUGUAUUCUCAAAGCAACAAGCUAGGUGAUUUCUCGCAUGGAUUUACUUAUUCUGCUCAUCCAUUUUCAUGUGCUAUAGCGAUUGAAGCGUUAAAGACAUACAAGAAACACUUCAUAUGGAUUAAUUGAGCAGCUAAGCCUUGCGUGGUUUCUUGAGUACGCCCUCCGGCACUGCAACAUGUGGUUCUGUAACUGAGCUCUCGCCACAGUAUCUUCUGUAGAUGUCGUGAUAUCAUUCAGUGGAGGCAAAUACUGGGCCUGCACCACAGCUGGUGUUAGUGUGAGCUGUAGAUAGCUUCUCACCGUCAGAGCACAUGCAUGACACACAUGUAAAUCCAUGCAUAUCAUCUUCUGGGUUGUUGUUCCCGUCCUGUCAACACAGAUUAGACUAUGUCACACUAACUCUCUAUUAAAAAGUUUUUGUCAGCUAGGAGUAUGGGAUGGUUUACAUGUGAGUUGAGAGUUGCAGUUGGGGGUUGGGGCACGUUGGGUGAUCAUCUUAGAAGGAUCAUUUCAACCUCCAUAAGCUCUCCCUCUUUCAUGACAUUGCAUGCCUCCAAAAACGGAGAAGCCACGCUUCUGAGGAGAACGGCCGGCCGUCAAACCGGCAAACAUUAUUGGAGAGUAAAAUGUAAAAAUACAAUAAUUUUGUUAUAUAGAUAAUGAUUUAAAA
Molecule: long non-coding RNA, 787 nt
Organism: Brassica rapa (field mustard)
Lineage: Eukaryota; Viridiplantae; Streptophyta; Magnoliopsida; Brassicales; Brassicaceae
Source: RefSeq, a predicted model, not a curated record